ACGAUGAACCAGGCCGCCGCUCAACGCUUGUUUUUUACAGGUAUUGGGAGGAAAGUCCGGGCUCCGCAGGGCAUGAUGCCGGGUAACGCCCGGGCUCCGUUAAUUCGGAGACAGACAGCGCCACAGAAAAUAUACCGCCCCGCCUGACCACUAAAACGCAUAGGCAAUGUUGUUUAAACUUAUAAUUUUUUUAUGCGUUUUAGUGGUCAGGCGGAGUAAGGGUGAAAAGGCGGGGUAAGAGCCCUCCUCGGCAUUGGCAACAGUGCCGGCAAGAUUCCGGCUACGCCGGAAAAAGGCAAGCCUCAUCAGGAGCAAAGUCAAAUAUGCGCUGUAACCGGUUCGCCGGUUACGCCGGCUGACCCGCCGGUUAAACGCGGGUAGACUGCUAAAAAGGGGCCGGAAACGGCUUUUUUAGACAGAUGGCGGCAUUUUUACAGAACCCGGCUUAUGGUUCAUCGUUUUU
Molecule: RNase P RNA, 463 nt
Filed under: Treponema sp.
Lineage: Bacteria; Pseudomonadati; Spirochaetota; Spirochaetia; Treponematales; Treponemataceae
Description: RNase P RNA component class A
Rfam family: Bacterial RNase P class A
About the family: Ribonuclease P (RNase P) is a ubiquitous endoribonuclease, found in archaea, bacteria and eukarya as well as chloroplasts and mitochondria. Its best characterised activity is the generation of mature 5'-ends of tRNAs by cleaving the 5'-leader elements of precursor-tRNAs.
Source: RNAcentral